UACGAAGGGUGCUAGCGUUGUUCGGAAUUACUGGGCGUAAAGCGUGCGUAGGCGGCUUGGUAAGUCGAUUGUGAAAGCCCAGGGCUUAACUCUGGAACUGCAAUCGAAACUGCCUUGCUUGAGUAUGGUUGGGGAUAGUAGAAUUCCUAGUGUAGGGGUGAAAUCCGUAGAUAUUAGGAGGAAUACCAGUGGCGAAAGCGGCUAUCUGGACCAUUACUGACGCUGAGGUACGAAAGCGUGGGGAGCAAACAGG
Molecule: ribosomal RNA, 253 nt
Filed under: uncultured bacterium
Lineage: Bacteria
Description: partial 16S ribosomal RNA
Rfam family: Bacterial small subunit ribosomal RNA
Source: RNAcentral